RNAcentral lists this unclassified non-coding RNA (1437 nucleotides) under uncultured fungus. RNAcentral describes it as "sequence contains 18S rRNA gene, ITS1, 5.8S rRNA gene, ITS2, 28S rRNA gene". The stretch from base 420 to 1437 matches the Rfam family "Eukaryotic large subunit ribosomal RNA", at positions 1 to 961 of the family's 3401-position model. Lineage: Eukaryota; Fungi. The record is from RNAcentral.
GGAAGGAUCAUUACAAAUCUUUGUCGCUGGUGUUAGUUUAGGCUGACCACCAGCGCACAUAUGCACAGGGCCGCAAGGCUCUGAUGUUUACGCUUGUUUGUUUGACAGAUUGAUGUGACCUAAAUUUUGACAACUUUUAACAAUGGAUCUCUUGGCUCUUGCAACGAUGAAGAACGCAGUAAAGUGCGAUAUGUAGUGCGAUUUGCAUGAAUCUGUGAGUCAUCUAAUCUUUGAACGCAACUUGCGCCUCCUUGGAGGCAUGUCUGUUUGAGUGCCGCAUACAUCAAUGCAGCAAUGCGAUUUGACUGUUGUCCCCGGACUCGGUCUAAACGUAGCCAGAUAGUGGCCUGUGCAGGCUAGCCCGAGUGCUAAGCAUUCUCUGGGCUAGUCUCUACACAUGCCUAAUAUAUCUCUAUCAUUGGCCUCAAAUCAGGCAAGACUACCCGCUGAACUUAAGCAUAUCAGUAAGCGGAGGAAAAGAAACUAACAAGGAUUCCCCUAGUAACGGCGAGUGAAGCGGGAAAAGCUCAAAUUUAAAAUCUCGACGUUCUGCGUCGCGAAUUGUAGUCUAAAGAGGGCGAUCUAGGGUGGAUUGAAUGCGCAAGUCCCUUGGAAUAGGGCGCCAGAGAGGGUGAGAGCCCCGUAAUCGCAUUUGGUCUGCCUCAAGUGAGAGCCUCUCAACGAGUCGAGUUGUUUGGGAAUGCAGCUCAAAGUGGGUGGUAAAUCUCAUCUAAGGCUAAAUAUUGGCAAGAGACCGAUAGCGAACAAGUACCGUGAGGGAAAGAUGAAAAGCACCUUGAAAAGGGAGUUAAAUAGUGCGUGAAAUUGUUAAAAGGGAAACGAUAGAGACCAGUGUUGGCGUGUACUUUAAGCCGGUGCUUUGGUGCCGGUAGCGAGUGCACGUCGAGUCAAUGCCAGUUGCAGCUGUCGGAUACGAGUUGGAGGAAGGUGGGGUCAGUCUUCGGAUCGGCUCUUUAUAGACUCUAAUUUCUGCGACCGCCGCGACUGGAAGCCUGGGACCGCUAGGCUACUAGGGAGGAACAGUGGCCGGACAACAUGUUGACCGGUAGCUCUCACUUUCUACUAACCGACGCCUACUUGGGUGCCCUUGACGAAAUGGUCUUUAACGACCCGUCUUGAAACACGGACCAAGGAGUCUAACAAUCUUGCAAGCAUUAGAGUGGCAAACUCGAGGUGCGCAAUGAAAGUGAAAGCCUGCGAACCUUUGGUGCAGCAGGGACCGGCCUAGAGAUAUUUCGACAGGACCGAGUAAGAGUAGAAUUGUUGGGACCCGAAAGGCGGUGAACUAUGCCUGACUAGGGCGAAGCCAGAGGAAACUCUGGUGGAGGCUCGCAGCCGUUCUGACGUGCAAAUCGAUGGUCAAAGUUGGGUAUAGGGGCGAAAGACUAAUCGAACCGCCUAGUAGCUGGUUCCCUC